Beta vulgaris subsp. vulgaris (sugar beet) is the source of this 3453-nucleotide long non-coding RNA. RefSeq lists it as uncharacterized. The transcript is spliced from 4 exons. NCBI's taxonomy places the organism in Eukaryota, Viridiplantae, Streptophyta, Magnoliopsida, Caryophyllales, Amaranthaceae. The record is from RefSeq and is a predicted model, not a curated record.
UUUCGACUCUCUCUAAGCCCACUUCUCCCUCCCUCCCAAUUACUUCCCUCAAUUAGACUCUCUCAAUAGAACCCUCACUCACACCGUUCCUCCUUCCGCCGAUCCUUCACACCCUCGUCCUUCGCUUCUAUCGUCCCUCCCUCCGUCGUCCCUCGCUCUCUCAGUCAUCCUCACUCUGUCAACCUCGCAAUUGGUUCACUCACGCUAUGGAACUCGCUGCGUGAAAGUUACUCCAUCGAUGGCUGUUCAUGAUGCUGUUCUGUCGGUUGGUGGCUGGUGCGGUGCGCGAACAGCGGUGCGGUGGUGCGACGUUUUGCACCCUAAAUCUGAAAUCACCUCUUUCUCUCUCCUGCUAGUCAAGUUCCCCAAUUUCAGUAAUCGCGAAGAUAUACAGAUUCGAAGCUAUCUUGCUCUUACUCAAUGGUCCUUAUCUUGAGAAUGGCUGGCUUGAGGAUGCAGCAUAUUUUUAGUUGCUAAAUCGACAUCUUUCUGCACUGGUGAAAAUACAUCAGAGCGAAAAACACUUUUUGGAGAGAUUGUCCUAGUCAUCGCCCAACAGUUUCUAUUCCAAAGACAAUGGAAGAAAGUUCGUAAUUAUGCACAACUAAAGGGCAUCAAGAUCAUGGGGGAUAUGCCAAUUUAUGUAGGUUAUCACAGUGCUGAUGUUUGGGCUAACAAAAAACAUUUUUCGCUGGUGCGUCCCACUUUUAUAACCUGUGAUGUUGUUUCUGCAGUAUGAUAUGAAAUUUGUGUUUCUGCAUUUGGUGUUGAUGUCUGUUUUUCCAGCAGUAUAGGAAGGGUUAUACUCUGUUAGUCAGUGGUGUUCCGCCUGAUGCAUUCAAUGAAACUGGUCAAUUGUGGGACAGGUUGGUGACUCUGCAGUCUGCACAUGAGCUUCGGCAUCUUAAUUUCCUUAUCAUGUCUUUCUUAUUCAUUUUGAAAUCUUUAUACUUCCUCUUUUUUUUUUCUUACUUGCACAAUUGGAUGUUGGCACGUGAAAUUAGGAGAGGAGAGGAGAGUAGAGGAGAUAAAAACGGGAACCCAUGUACUAGGAGAGAGAAAGAGAGAAUAUAUUGCCGAAAUUGAAUGUUGCAAGUAAUAUGCAAUUUCCCAAAAAUGGAUGGUGCAAAUAAAUACAAGUGGAGGAAGUAUUAGUGGAUUGAUCCCCCCCCACCCCCUCUUCUGAUGCUUGGAAAUUGGAAUGCUGUUGAGGAUGUCUAAUUCAUGGUCUUCUUCUUUUUCUUUGUUUUAUGGGUCAGCUUAAAGUGGUGAUUUAUACAUUAGACAAUGUUUUUUAGGUGAUUUUGCUUCACCUACCGCCCACUUGAGUAAUAAACUCGCCCUAUCUUGGUAAAGCUUAAAGUGGAUGAUCUUCCUAGUUGCCAUCCUUGUUGAUAAAAUUUUGAAGUAUGUCAUUUCUGCAUAAUUACUAGCCUACUUGGUCUCUGGCAAAUAGCAAUGCACCUCUGCUUAGUGUUGUUCUUUUAUAUAAUUAUUUUCUGUUAUAAAUAUAAUAUCUUUUUCCUUAAAACAAGUACUAAUAUCUUUCAUCUUGGGAUGUCUCACAAAGUAGCUAAUAUCCCAUUUAUAGUACUUUUGUCCUUCCUACUUUUUAAUGUAGUUGGAGCCUCACACUGAACCAUGAACCACCCACUUUUGAUCUGUACUUCUUCACUUUCCUUCACCUUCGUACAGAAAGUAGAUGUUAACUUGGUUUACUUUAGGAGAGCAUACGUCAUUUUAAUGGGCUGUAAUAUCUUCUAGUUAUUUCAUGAUAUAUAGUUGUGAACUAGCUAAUGCUUGUCGGUUUGUUUGAAGCCCUCUAUAUGUAUUUGAUGUGAGCUAUUUAAUUGUGACUUGCUUCUUUAUUGGAUUUUACUUUACUAUCUAACAUCUGAUGCUCCUAGUUCCUUUUACAUUUCGUACCUGAUAUGAGCCCCACAUUUGCAUUUUGCACCUGCUUUUCUUAUCUCUUUUGAAGGAUCUGCCUUUUUUUGUCUCAGGUAUAAAUUUUUUGAGGACAGUGUUAGUUUUGGACUCCUUAUAUACAUUCCUGAUUCUUUAUCGAUUUUCCACAAUUCACAUUUACUUGAUGUAUAUUUCUCUUGAUUUAUAUUAUGGAAGCCUCCUUAAUAUUGUAUUAUCCAAUUGUAAAGUAUUUGAGGACAGUGUUAGUUCCUCUCUUUUGCUUUCUUAGUUAAAUAAUUUCUUAUGCUGGCUGACCUGAGUAUCUAGCUUGCUUCCACAUGACGCCUCAUUGAACAGUUUACAGUGAGGGCAGAUCCUUCAGCAGUUUACAGUGGAAAUGGAGUGUAAAUAUUCAGUAUAAAUUUUGUCUCAGGUAAUACAGAUUUACUUUUCGUUGAGGUCAAUCCUCUGUUCAUGUGCCAGUUGCUUUUCAGAACCAUUAUCAGGAGUUAAAAGUGGAGCUCCUCACCCUUUUGGCAUUAUUACUCUAAUUUUAGGACUUUGGGAAAAUAUGGUUGAGUAAAGCCAGUCUUGAGAAAUGAUAAUCUCACUUGCUUUUCAACUGAAGUACGGUUUAGUCCUCUUUAAUACUUUAUGUUCUUGAGCAACUUAAGGAUGAAGUCAAUGAUGUACUUUCUGAUUUUAUAUUGUGUGGCCUUCACUUUGCAUUGAUACUUAAGGAUGAAGUCAAUGAAAUAAUUUCGUAAUACAAAAGUUCACGCCUAAAACUCAACAUGAUUUAUUUAUAUCUACAGCAAGUUCAUUAGUAAUCUCCUUGCUGCUGCUCCUUUAAAAAUUAUGUGCUUAUGUUGGCAUACCUGGAUAAGUAGAAACCUUGGGCUUUGAUGUAAUGACAAUGCUGACUGUCAGCUCAUGAGCUUUCUGCUUCCUGACAACAAAGAAAUGAUACAAUGGUUAGAUUCUUUUUCAUUUUCGUUUUCUUUGGAUAGAUAAUAUAAAGGAUUAUCUAAGAAGAUCUUUGCAUUUAUGUUCUCAUUUUCAACCUUGCACAUAAAGGAAAAUCGUAAAGGCAAGAUAGAGCAGAGCUUACUCGAGUAUAACGAGCAUCAGCUUUUGAUACUUGGAUGAGUGCACUUUGGACAUUCUUUGUACUGAUGCCAUUAUUUUUCUGCUAUGACAGAGAUCUCCCUGGAAUUGUCGUGCCUUCGAACAUUCAGAGAUAGAGGAAUGGUUGCCAACAUCCAUAACUUGGGGUCAAAGAUGAAAGGUGUUGUUCCAUUUUCCCGCUUGGUGUGCAUGGCGUGAUUACUUUAAUUGAGCUUGGUGCACACUUUUUCUGUCUACUAGUUAGAUAUAGGAUUCUUGCUCCUGUAUCUAUAUUGUUGUAACUUUCUUGAUGCAAAUAAAGGAUCUUUAUUUAUGAAAAAUAAUGUAAUGUUUGUCCUUUUCUCUUUGUUUGAAAAGGAGAGGGAAAUGUUUGGUAUAGAUAUUAUGCAAGGAGUUCGAGAAACAAUGCCCUGGGCA